RNAcentral lists this ribosomal RNA (317 nucleotides) under uncultured bacterium. RNAcentral's name for it is "bacterial SSU rRNA". It matches the Rfam family "Bacterial small subunit ribosomal RNA", at positions 28 to 334 of the family's 1533-position model. The record is from RNAcentral.
GAUGAACGCUGGCGGCGUGCCUAACACAUGCAAGUCGAACGGUGAUAUAUAGAUGAUUUCGGUCUGAAAUAUAUCAUAGUGGCGGACGGGUGAGUAACGCGUGGACAACCUGCCCCGUACUGGGGGAUAGCAGCUGGAAACGGCUGGUAAUACCGCAUAAGCGCACGAGGGGGCCUCCCCCUGUGUGAAAAGAUUCAUCGGUACGGGAUGGGUCCGCGUCUGAUUAGCCAGUUGGCGGGGUAACGGCCCACCAAAGCGACGAUCAGUAGCCGGCCUGAGAGGGUGAACGGCCACAUUGGGACUGAGACACGGCCCAG